This 195-nucleotide unclassified non-coding RNA is filed under the name plant metagenome. RNAcentral describes it as "partial contains small subunit ribosomal RNA and internal transcribed spacer 1". The stretch from base 1 to 46 matches the Rfam family "Eukaryotic small subunit ribosomal RNA", at positions 1786 to 1831 of the family's 1831-position model. The record is from RNAcentral.
AAGUCGUAACAAGGUUUCCGUAGGUGAACCUGCGGAAGGAUCAUUAUCGUGGGGCUUCGGCCCUAUCGAGAUAGAACCCUUGCCUUUUUGUACCUUCUGUUGCCUCGGCGUCUGCUUCACGGCGGCGCCAACGGGGCCAAAUAAUAAACUCUUUUUUAUCAUGAAAUAGUCUGAGAAAAAAAUUAAAAGUUAAAA